CAGUCGCCGCGGUAAUACGAGGGGAGCUAGCGUUAUUCGGAAUUACUGGGCGUAAAGCGCACGUAGGCGGUUGUGUAAGACAGGUGUGAAAUCCCCGGGCUUAACCUGGGAACUGCGCUUGUGACUGCACAGCUAGAGUAUGGCAGAGGGGGGUGGAAUUCCACGUGUAGCAGUGAAAUGCGUAGAGAUGUGGAGGAACACCGAUGGCGAAGGCAGCCCCCUGGGCCAAUACUGACGCUCAUGCACGAAAGCGUGGGGAGCAAACAGGAUUAGAUACCCCUGUAGUCCCUGUCUCUUAUAC
RNAcentral lists this ribosomal RNA (301 nucleotides) under uncultured bacterium. RNAcentral's name for it is "partial 16S ribosomal RNA". It matches the Rfam family "Bacterial small subunit ribosomal RNA", at positions 509 to 807 of the family's 1533-position model. The record is from RNAcentral.